This 253-nucleotide ribosomal RNA is filed under the name uncultured bacterium. RNAcentral describes it as "partial 16S ribosomal RNA". It matches the Rfam family "Bacterial small subunit ribosomal RNA", at positions 524 to 776 of the family's 1533-position model. The record is from RNAcentral.
UACGGGGGGGGCAAGCGUUGUUCGGAAUUACUGGGCGUAAAGGGCUCGUAGGCGGCCCACUAAGUCAGACGUGAAAUCCCUCGGCUUAACCGGGGAACGGCGUCUGAUACUGGAGGGCUUGAGUUCGGGAGAGGGAUGCGGAAUUCCAGGUGUAGCGGUGAAAUGCGUAGAUAUCUGGAGGAACACCGGUGGCGAAGGCGGGUCUCUGGGCCGAUACUGACGCUGAGGAGCGAAAGCGUGGGGAGCGAACAGG